This is a long non-coding RNA of Homo sapiens (human), 1782 nucleotides long. RefSeq lists it as uncharacterized. The record is from RefSeq and is a predicted model, not a curated record. NCBI's taxonomy places the organism in Eukaryota, Metazoa, Chordata, Mammalia, Primates, Hominidae. The transcript has 2 exons.
AUGCUCUUGAACCACUUGCUCCAGGCAUCUCCCACCCUGUGGAGUGUACUUUCGUUUAAGUUAAAUCUCUGCUUUUGCUGCCUUGUUUUGUCCAAUUCUUUGUUCAAAAAGCCAAGAACCUGGGCAACUACGCUUAACUGGUAACAUAUGUUGGGGAACCAGCCAGGAGGUAAGCCCAAAGUUUAGGAUUUAUUUUUCUCUUUUUCCUCUUUCUCUCUUCCUUUCCAACUCAGGACCCUCAGGAGAUAGCGCCUAUGCACAGAGGCAACUGCAGGUUUGUGGCCAGGGCUACUCUCUGGUGAAAACAAAAGGUUUCUAUGUGGAAGCGCCUACCCCCAACUGCCCGGCUUGGGUGAGGGACCAAGUCCUUUUCUUUUUCAGUCUUUCAGCGGCCGUUUCCUAGCAGCUCCUUAGUAAUUGAGGGCAACUGGCCAGGACCACUCUCUGGUGUUACCUGAAGGCCAAGGAGUGACCGGUGAUAGCUGCCUGCCUGGAAGGGGGAAGGGCUCUUUUCCGUCUUGUCCAGUUAUCAUCCCUGAACCCUCCAUGUGAUGCAGUUGGCAGUGGCAGCCCAUCCAGGGUGAACUCAUGUUUCAGGCGAGUUAAACCUUGUUUCCUUAUGCUAAAUUCUUCCCUUCCCCUACUCAACUGGCUAAGGACAAGUCAGAGGGUUUGCGCAGAUGGUUUGUGUGUGUCAUGCGGGGGGAUUCAUAAAAGGGAAUUUAUGUACAAUUUAAUCUUGCCUAAAUUUAGAAAGUUAAAUAAUUGUUUUAAGUGGGAUAGGAAAAAAUCCAAAGGUUUGACUGAAAAUUAAUUUCUAGAAAUCAAGGCCUUCAUCCAGGGACAAGAGGGAAAGUUCAUAGUGGGCCAUCAGUGGUGGAGGAAACCAUUCCAUAGUGGUGUCAGAUCUAAGGUCAGAGACGUCCGACAGACUAAGAUGGGGCCCUAAAGAGGGAUGUCCCCCAGGACCCCAGUCAGGGCCCAGAAUUUUUCCAGGGGGAUGACCCGUGUAAAAUUUGGGUCACCUAAUGGGCCCUCCACUUUCCAAAGUCCUCUUCUCUUUUCCAGACCACUAUAGGCAACUCUCCAUCGAUUCCACCUGAUUCCUCUAUGGGCCACUCUCCAUCUAUUUCACCUGGUACCCUGCUUGGCUACAUCCUCCACCAUUGAAAUCAACUUUACCCUGACAAUCUAAAGAGAAAAUAGACCAUCAAGUUUCAGAUGAUCCUGUGACAAGGUUUCCAGCCUGUUCCAAAUGAAGGCAGCACCCCUGGCCAUCAAGAAACUACCCAGUCUCCACUCGAUAGAUAAAGGCAGGAGUUCGGGGAUCCCCAAUAGGUAGGGACUGCACCUCAAGUCAGGGUGACGCAGUUACAGAAGAAAGACCAUCAGUCACUCUGUCUCCCAUAAAGAUUUCUGGGGAUCAUGUCUCUCGGGGGAAAUGAGGCAGGAGAAUAGGGUCUGGAGGCAGGGAACCUAAGUUCGAUGCAUGCUGACUGGAUAUCAGAGGCUACUCCCUUUCAACCCCUCCUUUUUCUGCAUGGCAGUUGCUGCCUGGCAGUUGGAAAUGAAAGUACCUCGGAUUGGUUCCCUCCCGCAACCAAUCAGACUGGUUGCGGGCCACUACUUUAUGUGCAUAGAGUGAACAGAUGGGAAACCCCUGGAGGGUAUUUAAACCCCAGAAAAUCCUGUAGCCCAGGCUCUUGAGCCUCUUGCUCGAGCCCGCUCCCACCCUGUGGAGUGUACUUUCGUUUAAAAUAAAUCUCUGCUUUUGCUGCCUUG